RNAcentral lists this ribosomal RNA (371 nucleotides) under uncultured bacterium. RNAcentral describes it as "bacterial SSU rRNA". It matches the Rfam family "Bacterial small subunit ribosomal RNA", at positions 527 to 896 of the family's 1533-position model. The record is from RNAcentral.
GGAGGGUGCAAGCGUUGCUCGGAAUUAUUGGGCAUAAAGGGUAGGUAGGUGGUUUGACUAGUCUGGGGUGAAAGCCUUGAGCUCAACUCAAGAAGUGCCUCAGAAACGCUCAGACUUGAGUCCUGGAGAGGGUCGUGGAAUUCCCGGUGUAGCGGUGAAAUGCGUAGAGAUCGGGAGGAACACCAGAGGCGAAGGCGACGACCUAGAAAGGUACUGACACUCAACUACGAAAGCGUGGGGAGCAAACAGGAUUAGAUACCCUGGUAGUCCACGCUGUAAACGAUGGGUACUAGUUUUAGUGGGACUUGACCCCUGCUGAAACGAAGCAAAUGCAUUAAGUACCCCGCCUGAGGAAUACGGUCGCAAGACUA